AUUGAACGCUGGCGGCAGGCUUAACACAUGCAAGUCGAGCGGGGAAAGGUAGCUUGCUACCUGACCUAGCGGCGGACGGGUGAGUAAUGCUUAGGAAUCUGCCUAUUAGUGGUGGACAACAUCUCGACAGGGAUGCUCAUACCGCAUACGUCCUACGGGAGAACGCAGGGGACCUUCGGGCCUUGCGCUAAUAGAUGAGCCUAAGUCGGGUUAGCUAGUUGGUGGGGUAAAGGCCUACCAAGGCGACGAUCUGUAGCGGGUCUGCGAGGAUGAUCCGCCACAAUGGGACUGAGAAACGGCCCAGACUCCUACGGGAGGCAGCAGUGGGGAAUAUUGGAAAAAGGGGGGAACCCUGAUCCAGCCAUGCCGCGUGGGUGAAGAAGGCCUUUUGGUUGUAAAGCACUUUAAGCGAGGAGGAGGCUACCGAGAUUAAUACUCUUGGAUAGUGGACGGUACUCGCAGAAUAAGCACCGGCUAACUCUGUG
This 485-nucleotide ribosomal RNA is filed under the name uncultured bacterium. Its description in RNAcentral is "partial 16S ribosomal RNA". It matches the Rfam family "Bacterial small subunit ribosomal RNA", at positions 30 to 507 of the family's 1533-position model. The record is from RNAcentral.